Molecule: ribosomal RNA, 391 nt
Filed under: uncultured bacterium
Lineage: Bacteria
Description: partial 16S ribosomal RNA
Rfam family: Bacterial small subunit ribosomal RNA
Source: RNAcentral
AUACGGAGGAUGCGAGCGUUAUCCGGAUUUAUUGGGUUUAAAGGGUGCGUAGGCUGUGCGUUAAGUCAGGGGUGAAAUGCCGUCGCUCAACGACGGAGCUGCCCUUGAUACUGGCGUGCUGGAGUACGGAUGCCGUUGGAGGAAUGAGUGGUGUAGCGGUGAAAUACUUAGAUAUCACUCAGAACACCGAUUGCGAAGGCAUCUGACGAAUCCGUCACUGACGCUGAGGCACGAAAGCGUGGGGAUAGAACAGGAUUAGAUACCCUGGUAUUCCACGCCGUAAACGAUGAUGACUAACCGUCGGCGAUAGACAGCCGGUGGCCAAGCGAAAGCGAUAAGUCAUCCACCUGGGGAGUACGUCGGCAACGAUGAAACUCAAAUGAAUUGGCGG